UACGUAGGGAGCGAGCGUUGUCCGGAAUUACUGGGUGUAAAGGGAGCGUAGACGGUGAUGCAAGUCAGAAGUGAAAGCCCGGGGCUCAACUGCGGGACUGCUUUUGAAACUGCCAGGCUAGAGUGUCGGAGAGGUAAGUGGAAUUCCUAGUGUAGCGGUGAAAUGCGUAGAUAUAUGGAAGAACACCAGUGGCGAAAGCGGCUCUCUGGUCUGUAACUGACGCUGAGGUUCGAAAGCGUGGGUAGCAAACAGG
RNAcentral lists this ribosomal RNA (253 nucleotides) under uncultured Lachnospiraceae bacterium. Its description in RNAcentral is "partial 16S ribosomal RNA". It matches the Rfam family "Bacterial small subunit ribosomal RNA", at positions 524 to 776 of the family's 1533-position model. The record is from RNAcentral. Lineage: Bacteria; Bacillati; Bacillota; Clostridia; Lachnospirales; Lachnospiraceae.